ACGUGAUGUAGCUGUUAGUAGAUUUUAGCCUUGAAAAAACCAUCAUCAUCAACAACAACGAGUGCAAGUUUUGCUUGUGCCUGAAUUGACCGCUAUCAAUCUAUCAUCAUCAAAAGUCUGCUACUUCAUCACUAUGGUAUACUUUCUUUUGUCGUCCAACACAUUCUAGUGAAUGUGGGUUUAUUCACGGAGACGCCCGUCUAAUGUAUCCAACUUUUCUGCUGAUGGAACGCGUGUGGAUGCCUGGCGGUAUUUUCCAGACUUCAAGGUUGGAAACUAUUUCAUCCCUUUCUUAUUAUUGUUUACUAUUUUGUUACAUGACUUGUCGUAAAACAGUGAGGCAGCUCAGCUCAUGAAACGAUACAUGGGUCCAAAAUCCU
Molecule: long non-coding RNA, 380 nt
Organism: Daphnia pulicaria
Lineage: Eukaryota; Metazoa; Arthropoda; Branchiopoda; Diplostraca; Daphniidae
Exons: 3
Source: RefSeq, a predicted model, not a curated record